UACGUAGGGGGCUAGCGUUGUCCGGAUUUAUUGGGCGUAAAGAGCGUGUAGGCGGCCAGGUAGGUCUGGUGUGAAAACUCGAGGCUUAACCUCGAGAUGUCAUCGGAAACCAUUUGGCUAGAGUCCGGAAGAGGAGAGUGGAAUUCCUGGUGUAGCGGUGAAAUGCGCAGAUAUCAGGAAGAACACCAAUGGCGAAAGCAGCUCUCUGGGACGGUACUGACGCUGAGACGCGAAAGCGCGGGGAGCGAACAGG
Molecule: ribosomal RNA, 253 nt
Filed under: uncultured bacterium
Lineage: Bacteria
Description: partial 16S ribosomal RNA
Rfam family: Bacterial small subunit ribosomal RNA
Source: RNAcentral